RNAcentral lists this ribosomal RNA (301 nucleotides) under uncultured bacterium. Its description in RNAcentral is "partial 16S ribosomal RNA". It matches the Rfam family "Bacterial small subunit ribosomal RNA", at positions 509 to 807 of the family's 1533-position model. The record is from RNAcentral.
CAGUAGCCGCGGUAAUACGUAGGGUGCAAGCGUUAAUCGGAAUUACUGGGCGUAAGGCGUGCGCAAGCGGUUAUAUAAGUCAGAUGUGAAAUCCCCGGGCUCAACCUGGGAACUGCAUUCGAGACUGUAUGGCUAGAGUGUGUCAGAGGGGGGUAGAAUUCCACGUGUAGCAGUGAAAUGCGUAGAUAUGUGGAGGAAUACCGAUGGCGAAGGCAGCCCCCUGGGAUAACACUGACGCUCAUGCACGAAAGCGUGGGGAGCAAACAGGAUUAGAUACCCCGGUAGUCCCUGUCUCUUAUAC